CGCGUAGGUGGUAGUGCAAGUCUGAGGUGGAAUCUUAGGGCUUAACCCUAAAAUUGCCUUGGAAACUGCAUUACUUGAGUCAGUGAGGGGAGGGUAGAAUUCCUGGUGUAGCGGUGAAAUGCGUAGAUAUCAGGAGGAAGGCCGGUGGCGAAGGCGGCCCUCUGGCGCUGAACUGACACUGAGGCGCGAAAGCGUGGGGAGCAAACAGGAUUAGAUACCCUGGUAGUCCACGCCCUAAACGGUGGGUACUAGGUGUAGGGCUCGUAAGGGUUCUGUGCCGAAGCGAAAGCAUUAAGUACCCCGCCUGGGGAGUACGGCCGCAAGGUUGAA
This 330-nucleotide ribosomal RNA is filed under the name uncultured bacterium. Its description in RNAcentral is "bacterial SSU rRNA". It matches the Rfam family "Bacterial small subunit ribosomal RNA", at positions 568 to 898 of the family's 1533-position model. The record is from RNAcentral.